CAGCCCCGACGGCAGCCCACGGUAGCUUGUGCUGGAUACUGAAGUUGCUAGAAAAUAUACCUCCAGCAAUCAAGGCUCUUACAUACAUUUUUAACUUAUAGUGCUUAGCUUCCCAAACGAGAUUCAACCAUCGUUUAGCCUAAUACACUGGAACCGUAUUCACAUCAUCAUUCAUUUUUAAGUUUUCCCCGUAAGAAAGAUGAUGCAGCACCUGCUGUCAAGAAAUUUCCUUGUAGUCGGUUUACUUAUGACAACAGCUCUGCCGUUGUUGACGGAAGGCGGAAUCAUUUCUUACGGAAUAUGCCAAACCGGUUGUAACGCUUUGGCCGUCGCCUGUUACGCGGCAGCAGGAUUUACCUUCGGAGUGCCGACAUGGGGUGCCGCCAUACCUGCAGCGCUUGUAUCGUGUAACAAUGCUUUAGGAGUCUGCAUGACGGUUUGUGCUUUGGUUAUACCUCUCCCAGCACCAUAAGGGAUGAACAGCAACAACAACAACAAACAAUAGUAUAAGAAUAAUCCAUAAUGUUUUAAAACGCAUCAGCUUAUUAUGGUUUUAUUUUUGACCGCAACCUUAAAUCCGUGUUGAUUGCACAUUCAUCAAAUAAAAAAUGAAAUCGAUUGCUGAUUAACCAAAAAUGGCAUGUGAAGUGUUAUCAAAGCGUAUAAAAAUACUUGCGUGUAUAACUGCAUGCUACAAAGUAAAAUAUUCGAAUAUAAAAAGACUGGAACAUCUUUAGACAAUGUCACAACUGCUGUAACAGUUAAUUUCACAGACUUUGUGAACUUGAAUAACAGCAGAUAAAGAGGCUAAUAUGUAGUGGAAUGUUAAGUCUCAGGUUGUAAAGGAUAUUCUAUCUCUAUUGUUCAGUAUUAUGAUAUCCUUAAUUGUUUAUCUGUAUUUGUAUCAGGCACGCUACGCAAACGGACGGAAUAAACGAAAAAAAUUGCAUGAAUGAAUCACACGGGCUCGGACACAACGAU
This is a long non-coding RNA of Daphnia pulicaria, 981 nucleotides long. RefSeq lists it as uncharacterized. The transcript is spliced from 3 exons. The record is from RefSeq and is a predicted model, not a curated record. NCBI's taxonomy places the organism in Eukaryota, Metazoa, Arthropoda, Branchiopoda, Diplostraca, Daphniidae.